GUGAACGUUACCAAACUGUUGCCUCGGCGGGAUCUCUGCCCCGGGUGCGUCGCAGCCCCGGACCAAGGCGCCCGCCGGAGGACCAACCAAAACUCUUAUUGUAUACCCCCUCGCGGGUUUUUUUAUAAUCUGAGCCUUCUCGGCGCCUCUCGUAGGCGUUUCGAAAAUGAAUCAAAACUUUCAACAACGGAUCUCUUGGUUCUGGCAUCGAUGAAGAACGCAGCGAAAUGCGAUAAGUAAUGUGAAUUGCAGAAUUCAGUGAAUCAUCGAAUCUUUGAACGCACAUUGCGCCCGCCAGUAUUCUGGCGGGCAUGCCUGUCCGAGCGUCAUUUCAACCCUCGAACCCCUCCGGGGGGUCGGCGUUGGGGAUCGGCCCUGCCUUGGCGGUGGCCGUCUCCGAAAUACAGUGGCGGUCUCGCCGCAGCCUCUCCUGCGCAGUAGUUUGCACACUCGCAUCGGGAGCGCGGCGCGUCCACAGCCGUUAAACACCCAACUUCUGAAAUGUUGACCUCGGAUCAGGUAGGAAUACCCGCUGAACUUAAGCAUAUCAAUAAGCGGAGGAAAAGAAACCAACAGGGAUUGCCCCAGUAACGGCGAGUGAAGCGGCAACAGCUCAAAUUUGAAAUCUGGUCCCUAGGGCCCGAGUUGUAAUUUGUAGAGGAUGCUUUUGGUGAGGUGCCGCCCGAGUUCCCUGGAACGGGACGCCACAGAGGGUGAGAGCCCCGUCUGGCUGGCCGCCGAGCCUCUGUAAAGCUCCUUCGACGAGUCGAGUAGUUUGGGAAUGCUGCUCAAAAUGGGAGGUAUAUGUCUUCUAAAGCUAAAUAUUGGCCAGAGACCGAUAGCGCACAAGUAGAGUGAUCGAAAGAUGAAAAGCACCUUGAAAAGAGGGUUAAAUAGUACGUGAAAUUGUUGAAAGGGAAGCGCUUGUGACCAGACUUGGGCGCGGCGGAUCAUCCGGGGUUCUCUCCGGUGCACUUCGCCGCGUCUAGGCCAGCAUCAGUUCGUCCCGGGGGGAAAAAGGUUUCGGGAACGUGGUCCUCCCCGGGAGUGUUAUAGCCCGUUGCUAAUACCCUGCGGUGGACUGAGGACCGCCACUGCAG
This 1100-nucleotide small RNA is filed under the name Trichoderma harzianum. RNAcentral's name for it is "eukaryotic LSU rRNA". The stretch from base 506 to 1100 matches the Rfam family "Eukaryotic large subunit ribosomal RNA", at positions 1 to 605 of the family's 3401-position model. The record is from RNAcentral. Lineage: Eukaryota; Fungi; Ascomycota; Sordariomycetes; Hypocreales; Hypocreaceae.